UGAGCAGCGACGCCGCGUGAGGGAUGACGGCCUUCGGGUUGUAAACCUCUUUCAGCAGGGACGAAGCGAAAGUGACGGUACCUGCAGAAGAAGCACCGGCCAACUACGUGCCAGCAGCCGCGGUAAUACGUAGGGUGCAAGCGUUGUCCGGAAUUAUUGGGCGUAAAGAGCUCGUAGGCGGCUCGUCACGUCGGCUGUGAAAAC
RNAcentral lists this ribosomal RNA (204 nucleotides) under uncultured actinomycete. RNAcentral describes it as "partial 16S ribosomal RNA". It matches the Rfam family "Bacterial small subunit ribosomal RNA", at positions 384 to 601 of the family's 1533-position model. The record is from RNAcentral. Lineage: Bacteria; Bacillati; Actinomycetota; Actinomycetes; Actinomycetales.